UGUUAGGGCUAGAGAGUGCUCUUCC
RNAcentral lists this non-coding RNA (25 nucleotides) under Cricetulus griseus (Chinese hamster). Lineage: Eukaryota; Metazoa; Chordata; Mammalia; Rodentia; Cricetidae. The record is from RNAcentral.